CCCGACGCAACCCCGCGGCCUUACCCCCUCCAGGCCUUUGAUAGGGAAAGGACACUUCCUGCUCUAUCCCAUCACGCAGCCGCUCGGAUUCAUUGUCCCACAAACUGCCCUGAAGACCACCACCACCACCCCCACCACGGCGGCGGCGGCGGCUCACUGCGCCAGCGACCCCCCGGCGGAGAGGAACCAGCCCGGCGCGCGCUGCGGCGGCGGCGGCGGCGGCGGCGGCGGCUCCGCGGGAUGUAGGAGCGGCUCGCCGGAGCGCGCAGACGCGCCGCGAACGCGGCCGGUGGGGUCGGAGGACGAGACGCGUUCACCGCACACCAGCCCGCCCAGGGCCGCCUUCCCCGCUGGCAAAGGCAGCCAGACCCCCGCGAUUUGCAGCGAACACGGCGCGCACCUCGCUCGGCCUGUCGACGCAGACAGAAAAGAGCAUUUAGAGAUCAAGGAGCAGCCCGAGGACCCGGAGAGGCUCCCCGGUGACAGUCCGGCGCAAACAAAGACAGACUGUAAAGAAGAUGUCGACAUGGAAUAAACCAUCCAGUGGGGGCCGAAUCGCGCUGAUGUGGCCUCUAAACGACACCUUUCAUUAGGCCAAAGCUUAACCAGAAACCACAUCUUUGCAACUAAUCUAGGUUCCCCCACUGCACUUAUUUUGACAAUGUUCUCUCUCUCUCUCUCUCUCUCUCUCUCUCUCUCUCUCUCUCUCUCUCUCUCUCUCUCUCUCUCUCUCUGAGUGUGCGCGUGCGUGUGUGAGGAAUCUCUAGAUAUCCUUUAAUGUGUGAUAACUUGUCGGGGGAAAAAACAACAACAACACCAACAACAGGAGUCCAACAAAAUCCUCAAGAGCUGUAAAAAGGUAUUAUACUAUUUAUAUAUGUAAGGUUUUUCUUAAAUAAAUCUAUUGUAUACAAGCACCUCAAACCGUGUGAGACCUUAAAUAGCAGUGCACGCAGUGCAGGACUACAGUAGCCUACAGUAGGAAGGGCUUCCUUAAGAAAUCUCAUGUUGUACUUUGUAUAUUGCCUUAACAAAUUUAUUCAUCUAUAAGCCCCCACUGAAAUGAGGUUACGAGCCGGAGGCAAAAAGGACCCGCUCGACUCCUGCAGAGUUUUGAUAUGAAAGUAAUUAUUUUCCCGGUGGCUACUGCAGGGGGAUUCAGUUUAUUUUAGCUCAAAGGGGGUUAUAAUACAUUACCGAUUUCUAGUGAUAUGAAAUCACAUAAACUUCCAAGAAUAAUAGAAUUAGCAUGAAAAGGCCUGGGUGUCAAAUUGAAAUAGGAAAAUAA
Long non-coding RNA from Gasterosteus aculeatus aculeatus (three-spined stickleback), 1288 nucleotides. NCBI's taxonomy places the organism in Eukaryota, Metazoa, Chordata, Actinopteri, Perciformes, Gasterosteidae. The record is from Ensembl.